Molecule: ribosomal RNA, 200 nt
Filed under: uncultured bacterium
Lineage: Bacteria
Description: partial 16S ribosomal RNA
Rfam family: Bacterial small subunit ribosomal RNA
Source: RNAcentral
AGAGUUUGAUCCUGGCUCAGGAUGAACGCUGGCGGCGUGCCUAAUACAUGCAAGUCGAGCGAAUCUUCUUCGGAAGAUUAGCGGCGGACGGGUGAGUAACACGUAGGCAACCUACCCAAUAGACUGGGAUAACUUCGGGAAACCGGAGCUAAUACCGGAUAACAAUGUGGUUCUCAUGAACCAUAUUUGAAAGCUGGCUU